CCUUACGGCCAUACAACCCUGAACACGCCCGAUCUCGUCUGAUCUCGGAAGCUAAGCAGGGUCGGGCCUGGUCAGUACUUGGAUGGGAGACCGCCUGGGAAUACCAGGUGCUGUAAGCU
RNAcentral lists this ribosomal RNA (119 nucleotides) under Oreochromis niloticus (Nile tilapia). The record is from RNAcentral. Lineage: Eukaryota; Metazoa; Chordata; Actinopteri; Cichliformes; Cichlidae.